Molecule: ribosomal RNA, 497 nt
Filed under: uncultured bacterium
Lineage: Bacteria
Description: partial 16S ribosomal RNA
Rfam family: Bacterial small subunit ribosomal RNA
Source: RNAcentral
GAUGAACGCUGGCGGCGUGCCUAAUACAUGCCAGUCGAGCGAUGAAGAUUGGUGCUUGCACCAAUUUGAAGAGCAGCGAACGGGUGAGUAACGCGUGGGGAAUCUGCCUUUGAGCGGGGGACAACAUUUGGAAACGAAUGCUAAUACCGCAUAACAACUUUAAACAUAAGUUUUAAGUUUGAAAGAUGCAAUUGCAUCACUCAAAGAUGAUCCCGCGUUGUAUUAGCUAGUUGGUGAGGUAAAGGCCCACCAAGGCGAUGAAACAUAGCCGGCCUGGGAGGGGUGACGGGCCACAUUGGAAUUGAGAACCGCUCAAGCCCCUUAGGGGGGGAACAGGAGGGAAACAUUGGCAAAGGACGAAAGUCUGGCCGGGCAACGCCGGGUGGGUGAAGGAGGUUUUCGGAACGUAAAACUCUGUUGGUAGAGAAGAACGUUGGUGAGAGUGGAAAGCUCAUCAAUUGACGGUAACUACCCAGAAAGGGACGGCUAACUACGUG